This 253-nucleotide ribosomal RNA is filed under the name uncultured bacterium. RNAcentral describes it as "partial 16S ribosomal RNA". It matches the Rfam family "Bacterial small subunit ribosomal RNA", at positions 524 to 776 of the family's 1533-position model. The record is from RNAcentral.
UACGUAGGGUGCGAGCGUUAAUCGGAAUUACUGGGCGUAAAGCGUGCGCAGGCGGUUUUGUAAGCCAGAUGUGAAAUCCCCGGGCUCAACCUGGGAAUGGCAUUUGGGACUGCAAGGCUGGAGUACGGCAGAGGAGACUGGAAUUCCUGGUGUAGCAGUGAAAUGCGUAGAUAUCAGGAGGAAUACCGAUGGCGAAGGCAGGUCUCUGGGCCGAUACUGACGCUGAGGAGCGAAAGCGUGGGGAGCGAACAGG